This 203-nucleotide long non-coding RNA is filed under the name Mytilus galloprovincialis (Mediterranean mussel). The record is from RNAcentral. Lineage: Eukaryota; Metazoa; Mollusca; Bivalvia; Mytilida; Mytilidae.
GUGGUGUCUUUAAUUAAAGUAUAAGUAACAAAUCUUAGUGUAACUCAAGUAGAGUAUUAUAUAAUUAUUCCAAUGUUUACUACACAUUUCACUUAUUAAUGGUUUAUUGUUAUCUUUAUCGAACACACGAUGGUAUAAUGUUACAAGAUUUCUACAGUUACGAAAAAAAGUUAAUGUUUUCUCUCCAUUCUUUUUUUCUGUUU